GAGACCCGUGCCCACUGUUACCAGCAUGUCCUCCGGGAUGAUGGGUACUCUGUGGGGACCGCCGGUGUUAAAUCGGAGGAAGGUGCGGGCUACGGUAGGUCAGUAUGCCCCGAAUUUCCCGGGCUACACGCGGGCUACAAUGAAUGGGACAAUGGGUCCCUCCCCUGAAAAGGGCUGGUAAUCUCACAAACCCAUCCUUAGUUCGGAUCGAGGGCUGUGACUCGCCCUCGUGAAGCUGGAAUCCGUAGUAAUCGCGUUUCAAUAUAGCGCGGUGAAUAC
Molecule: ribosomal RNA, 279 nt
Filed under: uncultured methanogenic archaeon
Lineage: Archaea; Methanobacteriati; Methanobacteriota
Description: partial 16S rRNA
Rfam family: Archaeal small subunit ribosomal RNA
Source: RNAcentral